GAGUGACCUUUGAUUAAAACAUGGUCCUGCAGCUGAAACACACUGAUGAAGUGAAGAUGACACAGAUCCACAUUAAAGACGUGACGUUGGACCGAGGUGACGAUCAGAUCAGAGGGAGGAAGGUUAUCUUACCGUGCACGAGGAUCACAAACAUCACAAACAUCUUCAUCUUCCUGUCACAACUACAACAAGCACAAAGUCUCUUUACUGAGCUUCACUUCAGAAACACAUGGAGGACAUCAGUUCACAGCCAGUCGUCACUCUGCUGCUGCUGACCGUCCACUGACUCCAGGACUGAACUGGACUUUCACUUUCACUUCGAGCUGUUUCCAGUAAACCACCUGUUGGAAGCUGCUUCCUGUGACGCCCACCUGUUUGAGGUGUUUGAGAAGGUUUGACACGCAGCACUCUGCAGGUCGCAGGUGACUAGAGAGCCUGCAGUGAUACAGUCAGUGCUGUAUGGACUCUAGCAGCCUAGUUAAUGUGGUCAGUCAGGGACGUAGUGCAGAAAACCAGACUGAUAGCUGAGUUUGUAACACUGAGACUGUCACCUUCCCUCACCACUCUCUCACUGAAUCAUCCUCUAAAUGUGUAAAUCACAAUAAUCUCAUGUUGAUCUCCUCUGUCAGUGGGGAAAUGUCUCAGCAAACAGCAUCUGUGAAAUUACUGCCAAAGUAAAUAUACUAAAGUAUAUUCAGCACUCAGAUUAUUUGUUUCAAAAUAAGAGUUGUUUUAAAUCCGACUGUUGAUCCAAUAAAUGGCUUUAAAAAGUGCUGAUUCAGCUGUAAUCUGUAAUGUAACUAGUAACUAAAACAGUAUUUUCAACAAAUGUAGUGGAGUAAAAAGUUCAUGUUUGCAGAAAUGGAAAUACUCAAGUAAAGUACAAAUACCUCAGAAGUGUAUUUAGUGCAGUUCUGAAACUAAACCUGGGCAGAGCUCAUGUCGCCCUCUGGUGGUUGUUUACGGGAACAUCAGUGAUGAACUCUGAGUGUCUGACAGGAAUGUUAGAAGUCAAAAUAAUCACAAACUACUUUAUAAUAAAGUGCUCAGUGUUCACUUUGAUAAGUUUCUCAGAGUUUUAAAGUUUUUAAAGAAUGAUUUUCCUCGCUGGCUUCAGAUGAACUGACGACCUGUUAGAGGCUCAAACUGAUCAAACAUCACAGAAUAACAGAAGAAGUAAAUAUGAAUUAAUCUCAUAUUUGCUUUAAAGAGGCUUCAGUGUUUGUUUCUGUUGCAGCUUUAUUGAUCUAUCAGUUAUGAUCCGUUGAUCACAUCGUGUCCUGGACUGCAAACAUGAGACAAAACCAUCACACAGUGCAGAACCACCAGAACAGAUUCCAGGAACACGUCCAGUUAUUUAAGGCAGAAACGCUCAGAAUCUAAUAAACAGCUGAAGUCUUUUUUUUACAGUACAACAUCUGUAAACCACAAACAUGAGAUCAUGUCAUACAUACACUGGAUCCAGAGUCCAAACUGGACCAAACUCAACACUGCACUUCUGUAGGUCCUCAGCAACAAACCGGUACCGUGUGAAGUAGAACAGAUCAACGUUUGUCGAGAUAUGUGAAUAAAUUCAGACAGUUUCCAGACGACGAGGCCUCAAACACUCCACUUCAGUCUGUGAGGUCCCGGAGUUGAAGUCUCCUGAGUCCACAGAACCUUUUCUGGUCCAGUUGUUUCCAAUGAGCAGAAUGUGGAGGAAUGCGGUCCAGUUCAUUCAGCUCUGGACCGACCGGCACCGCCUGGAUCCAACGCUGCUGAUCCCCCCUCAGUGUUUGUGAGCACAGUCAGCAGCAACUGUGACCUCAGAACAUUCGUCUGCAAAACCUCCACAGCAUCAAAGUCCAACAGUCUCAGUGUGGUUAGUCUGACAGCGACUACAUGAGGCCGUGUGAUGAGUCUGAACCGUGGCGCCUCUACAAGCUCCUGCCACACUCCAGCUAACCUGCUAAUGUGAUCGUUUACAGGGUUGUUAGCACCAAAAAGCAUCGAUACACAACUCAGAGCUGUUGGUUCAAAGCGCUCCGAUGGUUCAGGCGCGUCGCGUAACAACGACGACUGCAACUGAAGACCUGAACCGGCUGGUGGAGAGAGACAGGAUGACGGCCAAUAGGAGGUCCUGAACUCAGAAGUGUACUGAGGUCCAGCAGUGGAAACGUUGUCAGAGGUAAUAAUCCUGCUGUGCUCAUGUCGCCCUCUGGUGGUUGUUUACCAGAACAUCAGUGAUGAACUCUGAUUGGCUGACAGGAAUCUUCAUCUGAUAUCUUAUAAUCUGUUCUUCAUGUGUUUCUGUG
This is a long non-coding RNA of Acanthopagrus latus (yellowfin seabream), 2294 nucleotides long. RefSeq lists it as uncharacterized. The transcript is spliced from 3 exons. NCBI's taxonomy places the organism in Eukaryota, Metazoa, Chordata, Actinopteri, Spariformes, Sparidae. The record is from RefSeq and is a predicted model, not a curated record.